Molecule: transfer RNA, 71 nt
Filed under: Camelus ferus (Wild Bactrian camel)
Lineage: Eukaryota; Metazoa; Chordata; Mammalia; Artiodactyla; Camelidae
Rfam family: tRNA
About the family: Transfer RNA (tRNA) molecules are approximately 80 nucleotides in length. Their secondary structure includes four short double-helical elements and three loops (D, anti-codon, and T loops).
Source: Rfam by way of RNAcentral
GAGGGUAUAGCUCAGUGGUAGAGCACCUGCUUAGCAUGCGCAAGGUCCUGGGUUCAAUCCCCAGCACCUCA